This 399-nucleotide ribosomal RNA is filed under the name uncultured bacterium. RNAcentral describes it as "partial 16S ribosomal RNA". It matches the Rfam family "Bacterial small subunit ribosomal RNA", at positions 360 to 776 of the family's 1533-position model. The record is from RNAcentral.
AAUAUUGCACAAUGGGGGAAACCCUGAUGCAGCGACGCCGCGUGAGUGAAGAAGUAUUUCGGUAUGUAAAGCUCUAUCAGCAGGGACGAUAAUGACGGUACCUGACUAAGAAGCCCCGGCUAACUACGUGCCAGCAGCCGCGGUAAUACGUAGGGGGCAAGCGUUAUCCGGAUUUACUGGGUGUAAAGGGAGCGUAGACGGUAGGGUAAGACAGAUGUGAAAGCCCGGGGCUCAACCCCGGGAUUGCAUUUGAAACUAUCCGACUAGAGUGCAGGAGAGGUAAGUGGAAUUCCUAGUGUAGCGGUGAAAUGCGUAGAUAUUAGGAGGAACACCAGUGGCGAAGGCGACCAUCUGGCCGAACACUGACGCUGAGGCGCGAAAGCGUGGGGAGCAAACAGG